UGGGGAAUAUUGCACAAUGGGCGCAAGCCUGAUGCAGCCAUGCCGCGUGUAUGAAGAAGGCCUUCGGGUUGUAAAGUACUUUCAGCGGGGAGGAAGGCGAUAGGGUUAAUAACCUUGUCGAUUGACGUUACCCGCAGAAGAAGCACCGGCUAACUCCGUGCCAGCAGCCGCGGUAAUACGGAGGGUGCAAGCGUUAAUCGGAAUUACUGGGCGUAAAGCGCACGCAGGCGGUCUGUCAAGUCGGAUGUGAAAUCCCCGGGCUCAACCUGGGAACUGCAUUCGAAACUGGCAGGCUAGAGUCUUGUAGAGGGGGGUAGAAUUCCAGGUGUAGCGGUGAAAUGCGUAGAGAUCUGGAGGAAUACCGGUGGCGAAGGCGGCCCCCUGGACAAAGACUGACGCUCAGGUGCGAAAGCGUGGGGAGCAAACA
Molecule: ribosomal RNA, 427 nt
Filed under: uncultured bacterium
Lineage: Bacteria
Description: partial 16S ribosomal RNA
Rfam family: Bacterial small subunit ribosomal RNA
Source: RNAcentral